This is a long non-coding RNA of Sebastes umbrosus (honeycomb rockfish), 563 nucleotides long. RefSeq lists it as uncharacterized. The transcript is spliced from 3 exons. The record is from RefSeq and is a predicted model, not a curated record. NCBI's taxonomy places the organism in Eukaryota, Metazoa, Chordata, Actinopteri, Perciformes, Sebastidae.
UAUCUAUUGUCGUACUGAGAGCUGUGAGUUGUUAGGAGAUCUUUGUUGUUGCUGCGGUGCUGUCUGUUGAAGACAGCAACCGUUGUUCCCCUAGCUGCAGAGCCAGUUAGCUGCACAGACACAUCAAUAUGAAGUGCUUAAACAUGGCCAAAGCCUUUUGAAUGAGCUCUCACCUUUUGUUAGCUGACUAGCUUCUCUGCGAUUCAUUAGCUAGCUGUUAAUUCAUAUCGUUUGAUAACAUGAGAUGCUUUCAGUUAGAAAGCUAAAACACUCUAUAACAGCUCUAUAACGUUACUCAAAUAAUGUACUACAUCAUGGAAGUGAAAUUUAACAUUGGGCUAAGCUAAGCUGGAUAAAUUGCUAACCAAGCUAGUUCGACAGCUAGAUAGCAAGGCCUAUAGAAGAAGGUUGGGUCACUGGUCUUGGGUGUGUUGUGUAUGACGCAUGCGCAGUGUGAUUGAAGCUGCGGUUGUGCGUUGUGAUUGGCUCAAUUUCAGGCCAGAUUCCACUGCGCAUGUGUACUACCAAUGAGAUAUGACGUGUUGAUGACGCGUGACCCAGCC